Molecule: ribosomal RNA, 253 nt
Filed under: uncultured bacterium
Lineage: Bacteria
Description: partial 16S ribosomal RNA
Rfam family: Bacterial small subunit ribosomal RNA
Source: RNAcentral
UACGUAGGCAGCGAGCGUUGUUCGGAGUUACUGGGCGUAAAGCGCGCGUAGGCGGAUUUGCAAGUCGGGGGUGAAAGCCCGAGGCUCAACCUCGGAACUGCCUUCGAUACUGCAAAUCUCGAGUCCGAGAGAGGUGAGUGGAAUUCCUAGUGUAGAGGUGAAAUUCGUAGAUAUUAGGAAGAACACCAGUGGCGAAGGCGGCUCACUGGCUCGGUACUGACGCUGAGGCGCGAAAGCGUGGGGAGCAAACAGG